UUGCGCUGCUGAGCGGCGGGCUGAACGAGACACGGGUGCCGGCGCUGAUUGGCUGUGCUGUGCACGGGGUCACUCGCCGGUCUCGAAGCAAAGCCCGAAGAGCCAAGUUCGGCACUUCCGUACGUCCAGCAAUGCCGAGCCCACGAGUUGAGGUGGGGAAGAUGCUUAUGAGUCAAGGUGACUGUGAAGAGUGAAUUGCCCCACCCGAUCCGACUCACGGCAUCCGACCGCAGCCCAUUGCCCUGAGUUCGGCAGAGACGGAAAGACGGAGCAAUUGGCAGCCACAAAACAAAGAAACUCCAAAGGACCUUUUAAAGAAAGAUCAUCAAACACGCAGUGCUCAGAGAGAAAAAGAAAUCAUGCAGACAAUAAUGCCAGCAGCUUCCAUGGAGCAUUGGCCAUUGAUGACCUCCUGUUUCCAUCGUCUAAAGUCAAUGGUUGUUAGCAAUUUCAGCUGAAGAUGCAUUAUGUACUCCGAGAAACUAAAGAAGAUAUGAUUUCUCAAAAUUUCGAAUUAUAUAACGUUUAUUCCCGAGUGUCUGACAUGCCCUAUUUUUAAAGGAUGUUUGAAGGACCUCAAGCUGCGGAAAAAAUACCACCAACACAGUUUCUGAGAAAUCCUAUAAAUUCUCUGGACUGGUUCUUUUGAAGACCCUGACCCGGAGUUACACACUGACUUUGGUUCUUCACAGAAAUGGUAUCUUCUCUCAGGACCUCAUGACUGGCUGCUUUUUAAUAUGCCAAGGAUAUAGCCUGGAAGACUAGUGCACCUUCAGGGUGUUGGAUUUUCGUGGCUCUGGAGACGGGUUGAUUCAAGGCCAGUGUUGCUGCUUGAUGUGUCAUGGGAGUACACAGAAGAUUGAAAGCAGCAAGCUGGCUGCUGGCUGUGUGCACAGGGACAUAGAGUUCUUUGGGCACAGAAGUUGGAAAAAGUGGCACAACAGAUUUUUAACGAAACAACUUGCUGAUUUAUGGUGUUAUGUCUACCCACUCGCUGUGAAAUAGAAAUACCUCUUUUUCUCUUAUUAGGGAGAGAGAGAGAGCAUGUGGUAUGUCAAAUACUGGGUGAACGAGUAGUCUUUGGUGUACUGCAAGUCUGUGUCAUUACUGAUGCUUUGCUACACGCUCGAGUGCUGAUGCUUUUUUGCUGGUGGGGGGGUCAUUGCUUUGCUGCUGUUUGUGUGUGGGGGGUGUUGGGGAGGGUGCUUUGGGGUGCUAAAAUUUAACUAUCAUUCAUUCUUUGGGGCACUCUGUUUUUGUGAAUGUUUGCGAAGAAAUUUCAGGAGUAUAUUGUAUACAUUUCUCUGACAUUAAAUGGACCUAUUGAAACCCAUUGAAACCUAUUGAAAACAAAGUGAGGCAGCAUUGCUGACAAUCCUGUUCUGAUCAGAUGUAAUGAAUUGAUUUGUAUAGACAAUAUAUAAAACAAGUACUUUACUGUACUGUAUCCACAUAACAAAAAUAAACCAAUU
This is a long non-coding RNA of Hypanus sabinus (Atlantic stingray), 1472 nucleotides long. RefSeq lists it as uncharacterized. NCBI's taxonomy places the organism in Eukaryota, Metazoa, Chordata, Chondrichthyes, Myliobatiformes, Dasyatidae. The transcript is spliced from 6 exons. The record is from RefSeq and is a predicted model, not a curated record.